RNAcentral lists this ribosomal RNA (466 nucleotides) under uncultured bacterium. Its description in RNAcentral is "bacterial SSU rRNA". It matches the Rfam family "Bacterial small subunit ribosomal RNA", at positions 28 to 507 of the family's 1533-position model. The record is from RNAcentral.
GACGAACGCUGGCGGCGCGCCUAACACAUGCAAGUCGAACGAGCAAAGAGGAGCUUGCUUCUCUGAGCGAGUGGCGAACGGGUGAGUAACGCGUGAGGAACCUGCCUCAAAGAGGGGGACAACAGUUGGAAACGACUGCUAAUACCGCAUAAGCCCACGGGUCGGCAUCGACCAGAGGGAAAAGGAGCAAUCCGCUUUGAGAUGGCCUCGCGUCCGAUUAGCUAGUUGGUGAGGUAACGGCCCACCAAGGCGACGAUCGGUAGCCGGACUGAGAGGUUGAACGGCCACAUUGGGACUGAGACACGGCCCAAACUCCUACGGGAGGCAGCAGUGGGGGAUAUUGCACAAUGGAGGAAACUCUGAUGCAGCGACGCCGCGUGAGUGAAGAAGUAUUUCGGUAUGUAAAGCUCUAUCAGCAGGGAAGAUAAUGACAGUACCUGACUAAGAAGCCCCGGCUAACUACGUG